AAAGCUUGCUUUCUUGCUGACGAGUGGCGGACGGGUGAGUAAUGCUUGGGAAUCUGGCUUAUGGAGGGGGAUAACAACGGGAAACUGUUGCUAAUACCGCGUAAUAUCGAAAGAUUAAAGUGUGGGACCGUAAGGCCACAUGCCAUGGGAUGAGCCCAAGUGGGAUUAGGUAGUUGGUGGGGUAAAGGCCUACCAAGCCGUCGAUCUCUAGCUGGUCUGAGAGGAUGGCCAGCCACACUGGAACUGAGACACGGUCCAGACUCCUACGGGAGGCAGCAGUGGGGAAUAUUGCGCAAUGGGGGCAACCCUGACGCAGCCAUGCCGCGUGAAUGAAGAAGGCCUUCGGGUUGUAAAGUUCUUUCGGUGACGAGGAAGGCAGUUGGUUUAAUAGACUAAUUGAUUGACGUUAAUCACAGAAGAAGCACCGGCUAACUCCGUGCCAGCAGCCGCGGUAAUACGGAGGGUGCGAGCGUUAAUCGGAAUAACUGGGCGUAAAGGGCACGCAGGCGGAUUUUUAAGUGAGAUGUGAAAGCCCCGGGCUUAACCUGGGAACUGCAUUUCAGACUGGGAAUCUAGAGUACUUUAGGGAGGGGUAGAAUUCCACGUGUAGCGGUGAAAUGCGUAGAGAUGUGGAGGAAUACCGAAGGCGAAGGCAGCCCCUUGGGAAUGUACUGACGCUCAUGUGCGAAAGCGUGGGGAGCAAACAGGAUUAGAUACCCUGGUAGUCCACGCUGUAAACGCUGUCGAUUUGGGGAUUGAGCUUUAAGCUUGGUGCCCGUAGCUAACGUGAUAAAUCGACCGCCUGGGGAGUACGGCCGCAAGGUUAAAACUCAAAUGAAUUGACGGGGCCCGCACAAGCGGUGGAGCAUGUGGUUUAAUUC
This 881-nucleotide ribosomal RNA is filed under the name uncultured Pasteurellaceae bacterium. RNAcentral's name for it is "bacterial SSU rRNA". It matches the Rfam family "Bacterial small subunit ribosomal RNA", at positions 75 to 952 of the family's 1533-position model. The record is from RNAcentral. Lineage: Bacteria; Pseudomonadati; Pseudomonadota; Gammaproteobacteria; Pasteurellales; Pasteurellaceae.